AUUAGAGUUUGAUCCUGGCUCAGAACGAACGCUGGCGGCGUGCCUAACACAUGCAAGUCGAGCGAGAACGCCUGCUUCGGCAGGUUAGUAAAGCGGCGAACGGGUGAGUAACACGUGAGUCACCUACCCUCCAGUAGGGGAUAACACUUCGAAAGGGGUGCUAAUACCGUGUACGGUCCCGACCGUGUCUGCGGAUGGGACGAAAGGUGGCCUCUCUAUAGAAGCUGCCGCUGGAGGAUGGGCUCGCGCCCCAUUAGCUAGUUGGUAGGGUAACGGCCUACCAAGGCAACUAUGGGUAGCUGGUCUGAGAGGACGAUCAGCCACACUGGAACUGAGACACGGUCCAGACUCCUACGGGAGGCAGCAGUGGGGAAUAUUGCACAAUGGGGGAAACCCUGAUGCAGCAACGCCGCGUGCGGGAUGAAGGCCUUCGGGUCGUAAACCGCUGUCAGGGGGGAAGAAAUCGCUCCGGUGAAUAACCGGGGUGGAUGACGGUACCCCCAGAGGAAGCCCCGGCUAACUCCGUGCCAGCAGCCGC
This 538-nucleotide ribosomal RNA is filed under the name uncultured bacterium. RNAcentral's name for it is "bacterial SSU rRNA". It matches the Rfam family "Bacterial small subunit ribosomal RNA", at positions 1 to 518 of the family's 1533-position model. The record is from RNAcentral.